UAGCAGCCAAGGAAAAGGGAAACAUG
RNAcentral lists this non-coding RNA (26 nucleotides) under Homo sapiens (human). The record is from RNAcentral. Lineage: Eukaryota; Metazoa; Chordata; Mammalia; Primates; Hominidae.